RNAcentral lists this ribosomal RNA (477 nucleotides) under uncultured bacterium. RNAcentral's name for it is "partial 16S ribosomal RNA". It matches the Rfam family "Bacterial small subunit ribosomal RNA", at positions 28 to 507 of the family's 1533-position model. The record is from RNAcentral.
GAUUAACGCUGGCGGCGUGCAUAACACAUGCAAGUCGAACGAUGAAACUUAACUGAUUUCUUCGGAAUGAUUUUAAGUGGAUUAGUGGCGGACGGGUGAGUAACGCGUGAGUAACCUGCCUUGGAGAAGGGGAUAGCCUUUGGAAACGAAGAAUAAUACCCUAUGAUAUGAUAAUAUCUCAUGAUAUUAUCAUCAAAGAUUUAUCGCUCUAAGAUGGACUUGCGUCUGAUUAGUUAGUUGGUGAGGUAACAGCUCACCAAGGCAGCGAUCAGUAGCCGGCUUGAGAGAGUGUACGGCCACAUUGGGACAGGGACACGGCCCAGACGCCUACGGGAGGCAGCAGUGGGGAAUUUUGCACAAUGGGGGAAACCCUGAUGCAGCGACGCCGCGUGAUUUAGAAGGCCUUCGGGUUGUAAAAAUCUUUUGUAUGGGAAGAAAAUGACAGUACCAUACGAAUAAGGACCGGCUAAUUACGUG